AGCUCCAAUAGCGUAUAUUAAAGUUGUUGCAGUUAAAAAGCUCGUAGUUGGAUUUCUGGGAGGGUGCCAAUGUCCGCCGACGUGCGUGCGCAGCGGCGCCCUUCCAUCCUUCUGUUAACGCCUCUUGGCAUUCAUUUGCUGGUGGCGGGCUCAGAUAUUUUACCUUGAGAAAAUUAGAGUGUUUCAGGCAGGCUAGGCCGGAAUACAUUAGCAUGGAAUAAUGGAAUAGGACUACGGUCUCUUUGUUGGUUUGAGGGACUGCAGUAAUGAUUAAUAGGGAUAGUUGGGGGCAUUAGUAUUUAAUUGUCAGAGGUGGAAUUCUCAGAUUUGUUAAAGACUAACUUAUGCGAAAGCAUUUGCCAAGGAUGUUUUCAUUA
RNAcentral lists this ribosomal RNA (377 nucleotides) under Varistrombidium sp. RNAcentral's name for it is "partial small subunit ribosomal RNA". It matches the Rfam family "Eukaryotic small subunit ribosomal RNA", at positions 587 to 975 of the family's 1831-position model. Lineage: Eukaryota; Ciliophora; Spirotrichea; Strombidiidae. The record is from RNAcentral.